Molecule: long non-coding RNA, 388 nt
Organism: Cyprinodon tularosa
Lineage: Eukaryota; Metazoa; Chordata; Actinopteri; Cyprinodontiformes; Cyprinodontidae
Exons: 3
Source: RefSeq, a predicted model, not a curated record
AUUAAAAAAUCUCAGCUGAAUUAUAAUAAACUCACAGUUGAAGUUGGCAGGUUCUCAGCUGCGAUCUGUGCAAACUGAGAGGGAACAAAGAGACAGCGAUCUGAAACAGUGUGAAGUGUGUGGGAGGAAGUGAGUGUUCCCGUCGGCCAUAGAGAACGAGCAGAGUCAGAGACGAUGCUGGCGCCAUAAAGAGGAAGGCGUCGGAUAAGGAGGAAGGGUUGGUCCUCAGAAGGUGAAUAAUGAUUAAAUGUGAUUCACAAGAAGAUGAUGUGGAUUAAAAGAAGGAGGCCUGUUGGAGGUGUCAGGACUGCAGGUGGAGAGGUUGGUGUUUCUACGGGGCUAAAGGUGUGCCAGGCUCAGGUGGAGAGCAGCAGAGAUGGCGUCCUCA